AAAAUGUCGAAGGUUAGUUCUUCUACUGUAGUAUCUUUUGAUCCUUUGCUUCUGUGCGGCCAUCCAAACAAGCGUUGCUUCUCGCUUUUCAUCUAAUAACUCGAGGCUAGCAUUCGUGGCCUCGUGAUUUGUCUCCUUUGAUGCAUGUUGAAACCUGCGCUGGGUUCUCCGACCUCGACGGGGACGAGGGCCUCAGAGCCAUAUACUAGAGAAAAUGGGGUGGUCCCCACGCUAGACUUCGAUGUUGUCCGAUAUGCCUAAAGGACCUCGUG
RNAcentral lists this long non-coding RNA (272 nucleotides) under Nicotiana benthamiana. RNAcentral describes it as "long non-coding RNA (NBEN_LNC015603)". The record is from RNAcentral. Lineage: Eukaryota; Viridiplantae; Streptophyta; Magnoliopsida; Solanales; Solanaceae.